Non-coding RNA from Oryzias latipes (Japanese medaka), 4317 nucleotides. The record is from RefSeq and is a predicted model, not a curated record. NCBI's taxonomy places the organism in Eukaryota, Metazoa, Chordata, Actinopteri, Beloniformes, Adrianichthyidae.
AAUUCGCUGAGAAGAGGAGGAGUGAGCGGAUUAAAAGUAGAUGGAGAUUAGAGGGAGAAAGAAACGGAGGACAACAGAAGCGAUAAAAGCUGGAGAAGAAGGCAAACAAAAGAAGAAAGAGUGUUUAAUUAACCUUUAUUCAGGACUCUACGGGGGACAAGCAAGGGAGUAGAUGAGACCUGGAUGAGACAGAGACUGAUGCAAAGAUUGGAAGUGGGCAGGACAUUUCACAGAUUUACACCUGGUUGUCAUGACAACCACCCACAUAAAAUUAGUAACCAUGGCAGCCACUUGUUUGCAGUAGGUUUGGUGAGAGUAAAAGUGAGAUGAAGGAGACGUCUGAAUGUCUAAAAUGACUCUUCGCUGCGAGUCCCACCCUCUCCUAGCCCUCAUUCUCGUCCUCUCGUCUCCGCUGAGUCGGUCUCAGUUCAGUGGCCAGUAUGACGUGUGUCGCUCCAACUUGGGAGCAGUGCCCGGAUGGGAGCUAUAUCCAUGUCAGCCCCCCCCAAUGAACAUGAAAGAGUUCAUGCAGAUCAGAGUUGACCCGCCAGGGAUCACCUGUGGAAACCCACCAGAGAGGUUUUGCACUCUGGAGAAUCCAUACAUGUGCAGCGAUGAGUGUGAUGCAUCCAGCCCUGACCUAUCUCACCCUCCUCAGCUAAUGGGAGACAAAGAAAGGGGCGGUCUUAUUACCUACUGGCAGACGGUCACUUGGUCUCGGUAUCCUGAACCACUACAGGCCAAUGUCACUCUGUCCUGGAACAAAAGUCUGGAGGUGGUCGAUGACAUUGUUAUCACCUUUGAGUAUGGCCGACCAACAAGUAUGGUUUUGGAGAAGUCACUGGACAAAGGUGUGACUUGGCAACCAUAUCAAUACUAUGCUGACGACUGUUUAGAGACCUUUGGCAUGUCGCCAAAACGAGUGUCUGAAUUAGCGCCAAGUAACUUAACACGUGUAAUCUGCACAGAGCAGUACUCCCGAUGGGUCGGAGCCAAAGAGGAAAAGAAUGUAGUGUUUGAAGUGCGCGCUCGUUUUGGUGUGUUUGCUGGUGCAAAGCUCAUUAACAUGGAUGCUCUGUACACCCGCAUGGAGACCAUGAUGGGGCUUCGGGACUUCUUCACUUUCACUAACCUUCGUCUGCGACUUCUCCGCCCAGCAUUGGGAGGAACCUAUGUUCAGAGAGAUAACUUGCUUAAGUACUUCUAUGCUAUUUCUAACAUCGACAUACCAGCCAGGUGUAAGUGUAAUUUACAUGCAUCUCAGUGUGUGCUUCGUGAUGCAACACUGCAGUGUGAAUGUGACCACAAUACAACAGGCCAGGACUGUGAACGCUGCAGAGGAGGUUUCACAUCCAACAGCUGGAGACCAGGAUCAUACCUGCCCCUGCCCUGGGGCUCUGCCAAUAUCUGUAAUCAAGCUGAAACUGGAGUCACGGCUGAUGACUCUAACUCAGCAGCAUCUGAUGGACCUUCUGCCUCAUCAGAUGGAAUGACUGACUCUACUCCCACCACCACUGACUUUAUUAGGUCACCUUCAUCUGUAACUGAUGGCAAUACCCCAAUGACUGACGCAGACACUGCUGCUGGGCCCAUCACUGCAGUAACUGACAGUACAACUACUUCCCCCUCACGAACUACAGAUAGUGUUUCAGCUAUUUCUAUGUAUGCAAUGACUACUGAUACAAACCAAGCAGGCUCUUCUACAGAAUUAGCCAGUACUUUUACCAUGACUGACCUGUGGAGUACUGAUGCUGCAGAAACAAAAAGUCCCCUUGAUGACAUUGACAUGUCUAACACUGAGGAUAGUAGGGAUACCGGUACAUCCACACCUGUUUAUAGUUCCACUAAAUAUUUAAGUAGUACUACUGCUGAAGAUCAAAUUUCUGACAAUGGCUUAUCCCCAGACUCUUUUACAAGUUCUGAUAGUGGCAAUGCAGCCUCUACUAGUAUCAGCAGUACUUUAAGUGUUGAAAAUUCCACUCCAUUUCCCGAUCCAAGCAAUGAAAACAGACCUUCAUUGAACCCAGUUACAUCAAGUAGUCCAACUCUGGGUACUGGGAACACCCUUGAUCCCAGUCUUACCACUAGUAUCUCCACCUUAGUAAUAAAAAUCCCCCAAAUCCCAGGAAGUAGCAUAGAUGAGGGGGCACCCAUGUCUGAUCCAGUGACACUGGCCAAUUCUGACCUUGCCUUCUCUGGGACUGAAAAAGCCAUUCUGGUGAUAACUGUCACUCCACCUUCUGUUGAUUUAGUAUCAACAGCUACUAUUCCAGAUCAAUUAAAAACUCUAGUAGCUACCACAACUGGUAUCAAGGUUUCAUCUGAAGAUAUUCCCCUCACUGGAACUGUUUCAACUAGUCAAGUAGAAGAUGCUCCACCUACAGCAGGAGCUGACCCCACUUCUGUUCUUGUUGACUUUGGCAUCGAUAUACCUCGUACAGAUUUACCACUGGGAGAACCAUCCCUGGAAUUACCUCCUCUGGAUGGAUCAACUCCUGAUGUAUCAUCUUCAGAUGCACCUUCUGAUAUACCUCCUCUUAGUACAUUACCUCCAGACACAGCAUUUCUAGACACAUCUCGUCCAGGUGUUGUAUUGACAGAACCAGCUCUGGAUAUGAUUUCUCCUGAUGUACCAUCAAUUGUUGUACCAUUCCCUGAUGAACCACCACCAGAGAUGCCGUUGCCUGAUGUUCCACUGGAAGUACAAUCUACUGAUACACCAGCUUUUAGUUCACCGUCUCCAAAAGAAUCUGGGACAAAUGUCACUUUGGUAGACAAGCUUCCAUCUGAGUCAUCUUCUGUUAUUCCAAAUCCUUCAGUGGACCUUUCUUUAUUGGAAGUCCCUCAAGAGGGGCUACAGCCAAAGACAGAAGACACUUCAACAAAUGCACCUUUUUCCAGUGACCCUGUUUCUGAGGCACCCCCAUUGGAUGUACUUCCACAGCUACCACCCUCCAGAAUUCCAGAAACUUUAGCCGCCGUUCCUGAAUCUGAUGUGUCGGUUCUCAAUGCGCCCCCUCCUGUCAAGUCUUCUCUUGAUGCAGAGUUGUCCUCUAGAGCCCUUGAUGCCUCAACAGAUUCUGAUUUACUUCCUGUCGCUGGGGUUCCUCCAGUAGUAGCCUCCCCUGACAGUGUCCCUAAAGCCCCAAUGGAAACGGAAGAGCCUUUAUUACCUCCCUCUGGAGUUGAUGAUGUGGCAACAGGUACAGUUCCUGCCAUGACAGAGCCUUCUAACCCUGCGAAAAAACCUGAACAGAUAUCAGAAUCAAAAAAUUCCGAACAAGUGCCUGAUGGCAAUCUAGAACCUGAUAGGAAAGGAGAUUCUUCUAAGGAGGAAUUAGCUGGAGAAGCAACAAAAGAAAAGCCUGAAGAAAAGAAAGAUUCCAGUGAAAAGAGAACAGGAGAGCAAAAGAAGGAAAAAGGUACUGAAAAAUGUUUUAAAGUAAAAGACUCAGCCGUUUUGAAAAGUUUUAUGAUGGAAAUACAUUCUAAACCUGAUGAACUAAACUGUCAAUGUUUCUGAAGAGAAAACUAAGGAGAAAAAGGAAGAAAAAAGCAAGACGAAGGAAGACAAGGACUUAGAGAAAAAAGCAACCCAGAAGAUUCUGAUUCCAGGAGGACCAAAGUUUAGUCAGCUUUCAAAAAUCAUUUAUGUCAACUUUCAGGAUUGUGAGUGUAAUGGUCACUCAAACCGAUGCAGCUACAUUGACUUUGUCAACGUGGUCACAUGUGUGAGCUGUAAGCACAACACGCGAGGGCAGAACUGUCAGUUUUGUCGCCUUGGUUACUACAGAAACAUAGAAUUGCCGUUGGAGGAUGAAAACAUCUGUCUGGGUUUGCCAAUUUGAGGAAGCAGCAGAUAAUCAUAGAAUCCCUUAGAUCUGAAUGCGAGUGCAGCACAGUGGGCAGCACGUCUCCAUACUGCUCAGAGUCCGGUCUCUGCAGCUGUAAGAGUGGAACCACAGGGAGGAGCUGUGACUCCUGUUUAUCUGGCUACACCUGGAGAGGAGACGGAGCUGGAUGCACAGAGAACUUGUGUGACUCAGAACAGUUGAUUUGUCAGAACGGUGGGACCUGCAUAGACUUCCAGCGCUGCGUCUGUCCAGAAAAGUUCACAGGUCCGUUCUGUGAGCGCAGCGUCUGUCUGAAGAACAACAAAUGCCAAGAAAAUGCUAAAGGCUCCUCUUCCUCACUGACAUCACAGCUAUACCUGCUAAGUCUUGGUCUGAUCACCUGCCUCCGUUGAUCCUCUGCCUUUGACUUUAAGUCACACCUACUGGUUGGAUCACAGAUUAAUAAAAUUCUAGACAGAAUGAA